CCUCAAGGGUGGUUCUAAUCAGGGGAUCUCAGCUGACACGCAUGAAAAGCAUCACAGGCGGGAAUUGAACUCGGGUGUGUCGUGUCCCGAGGCA
Non-coding RNA from Caenorhabditis elegans, 94 nucleotides. The record is from Ensembl. NCBI's taxonomy places the organism in Eukaryota, Metazoa, Nematoda, Chromadorea, Rhabditida, Rhabditidae.